GACGAACGCUGGCGGCGUGCUUAACACAUGCAAGUCGAACGGAAAGGCCCUGCUUUUGUGGGGUGCUCGAGUGGCGAACGGGUGAGUAACACGUGAGUAACCUGCCCUUGACUUUGGGAUAACUUCAGGAAACUGGGGCUAAUACCGGAUAGGAGCUCCUGCUGCAUGGUGGGGGUUGGAACGUUUCGGCGGUUGGGGAUGGACUAGCGGCUUAUCAGCUUGUUGGUGGGGUAGUGGCUUACCAAGGCUUUGACGGGUAGCCGGCCUGAGAGGGUGACCGGCCACAUUGGGACUGAGAGACGGCCCAGACUCCUACGGGAGGCAGCAGGGGGGAAUAUGGCACAAUGGGCGGAAGCCUGAGGCAGCAGCGCCGCGUGCGGGAUGACGGCCUUCGGGUUGUAAACCGCUGUCGCCUGUGGCGAAGCGUGAGUGACGGUAAUGGGUAAAGAAGCACCGGCUAACUACGUG
Molecule: ribosomal RNA, 468 nt
Filed under: uncultured bacterium
Lineage: Bacteria
Description: partial 16S ribosomal RNA
Rfam family: Bacterial small subunit ribosomal RNA
Source: RNAcentral